ACCCGUUGAUCCUGCGGGAGAUCGCUGCUAUUUGGGUUCGACUAAGCCAUGCAAGUCAGGGCUCGCAAGAGACCGGCGAAGUGCUCAGUAACACGUCGAUAAUCUGCCCUUAGGUCCGGGAUAACCUCGGGAAACUGAGGCUAAUACUGGAUAUGAAACUAUGUCUGGAAUGACUUUUUUUCAAAGGCAACGCCUAAGGAUGAGACGGCGGCGGAUUAGGCUGUUGGUGAGGUAAUGGCUCACCAAACCUAAGAUCCGUACGGGCUCUGAAAGGAGUAGCCCGGAGAAGGGCACUGAGAUACUGGCCCUAGCCCUACGGGGUGCAGCAGGCGCGAAACCUUUACAAUGCACGCAAGUGUGAUAAGGGAACCCAAAGUGCUUAGCUUUGCUAGGCUUUUGCCAAGUGUAAAUAACUUGGAGAAUCAGUGGUGGGAAAGACUGGUGCCAGCCGCCGCGGUAACACCAGCGCCACGAGUGGGGAUCAUCAUUAUUUGGCCUAAAGCGUCCGUAGCUGGUUGAGUAAAUCCUUUGUGAAAUUGUUUUGCCUAACAAAACAGCGUGCAGGGGAGACUGCUCAGCUAGGGACCGGGAGGAGUCAGAGGUAUGCUGGGGGGAGCGGUAAAAUGCAAUAAUCCCCAGUAGACCACCUGUGGCGAAGGCGUCUGACUAGAACGGGUCCGACAGUGAGGGACGAAAGCCAGGGGAGCAAACCGGAUUAGAUACCCGAGUAGUCCUGGCUGUAAACACUGCGAGCUAGGUGUUGCAUAUUCUCCGUGAAUAUGCAGUGUCGAAGAGAAGUCGUUAAGCUCGCCGCCUGGAAGUACGGUCGCAAGACUGAAACUUAAAGGAAUUGGCGGGGGAGCACUACAAGGGGUGCGGCGUGCGGUUUAAUCUAACUCCACACAGAAAAUCUCACCAGAAGCGACGGCAGGAUGAAGGUCAGUCUAAAGGGCUUACCUGACGAGCCGAGAGGUAGUGCAUGGCCGCCGUCAGCUCGUGCCGUAAGGUGUCCUGUUAAGUCAGGCAACGAGCGAGACCUGUAUCCACAAUUGCUAACGACUCAUUUUGAGAAUCGAGCACAUUGUGGGGACUGCCUUGGAAACAAGGAGGAAGGUGCAGGCUACGGUAGGUCUGUAUGCUCCGAAUCUUCUGGGCUACACGCGCGCAACAAUGGUGCAGACAAUGGGCUGCAACUCCGAAAGGAGAAGCUAAACCUCGAAACUGCAUCUAGGUUCAGAUUGAGGGUUGUAACUCACCCUCAUGACGCUGGAAUCCCUAGUAAUCGAGCGUCAUCAGCGUUCGGUGAAUAUGUCCCUGCUCCUUGCACACACCGCCCGUCAAACCACCCGAGUAGGGUCUAGAUGAGGCUUGGUUUUUAACUAGGUCGAAUCUAAGCUUUGCGAGGAGGGUUAAGUCGUCACAAGGUA
Molecule: ribosomal RNA, 1427 nt
Filed under: metagenome
Description: bacterial SSU rRNA
Rfam family: Archaeal small subunit ribosomal RNA
Source: RNAcentral